AGAGAGAGCGAGAGAGCGAGAGAGCGAGAGAGCGAGAGAGAGAGAGAGAGAGAGAGAGAGAGGAAGAGAGAGGAAGAGAGAGAGACCAAAAGAAGCAAAUUGUCUUCUUUAAGCUUCUCACACCUGAGGAAAACCCUUGUGAAAGAAGAGGACAGCAGAGUCCACCACGUCCCCACCCCGUGGUGACCGAGGGCCUGAAUAUAGCCCAUGAACAUGAGAGGAUCCACAUGUCUGGUUGCUGUGUGGCUGUUUCUCUAUUUUUCAUUUCUAGCACUGAGUAAUGCAGGAAAUUCAGAAACCCAGACUGAGGUGGAUGGCUUCGGGAUACUGUUU
This 333-nucleotide long non-coding RNA is filed under the name Rattus norvegicus (Norway rat). RNAcentral describes it as "long non-coding RNA NONRATT010353". The record is from RNAcentral. Lineage: Eukaryota; Metazoa; Chordata; Mammalia; Rodentia; Muridae.